This 396-nucleotide unclassified non-coding RNA is filed under the name soil metagenome. RNAcentral's name for it is "partial contains 5.8S ribosomal RNA, internal transcribed spacer 2, and large subunit ribosomal RNA". The stretch from base 1 to 122 matches the Rfam family "5.8S ribosomal RNA", at positions 35 to 154 of the family's 154-position model. The record is from RNAcentral.
GAUGAAGAACGCAGCGAAAUGCGAUACUUGGUGUGAAUUGCAGAAUCCCGUGAACCAUCGAGUCUUUGAACGCAAGUUGCGCCCGAAGCCAUUAGGCCGAGGGCACGCCUGCCUGGGUGUCACACACCGUUACCCUCGCGCCAACGUCCAUCGUUGGCCGCGGCGCGGGGCGUGCGCUGACCUCCCGCGAGCGGGGUCUCGUGGUUGGUUGAAAAUCGAGUUCGCGGUCGAGGGUGCCGUGAUGAAAUGGUGGAUGGGCGACGCCCGAGGCCAAUCACGCGCGACUCUGUCCGGCUCCGACUCCUGGACCCCUUCGGCGUCUCCGGACGCUCUUUGGCGAGACCUCAGGUCAGGCGGGGCUACCCGCUGAGUUUAAGCAUAUCAAUAAGCGGAGGA